Molecule: long non-coding RNA, 794 nt
Organism: Magnolia sinica
Lineage: Eukaryota; Viridiplantae; Streptophyta; Magnoliopsida; Magnoliales; Magnoliaceae
Exons: 3
Source: RefSeq, a predicted model, not a curated record
UAACCAGCAUGGUUGAUUAUUUCUGUGAUUUUAUCAAACUGCCUCCGUUUAUUUCAGAAAGACACAAGCAUAUGCAAUUCUUUUUUUUUUUUUUUUGGCUACACUAGUUACAUGAUCUUUGAAUCCAGACUCCCAUUUACCUGUUAUUUUUGGGAGGUAUACAUAUGCUUUUUUACUGUUUGUGUAGUACGUGGAAAUCUCAUUUUCUUCUUACAAUACUCACCUUGUUUCUAGCGUCAAGAAUCUAAGUUAUGGAAAAGCAGAGUCCAAUCCAUCCUGUUUUGUGCUAUCCAAACAACAAAAAUCAUCACAUCAAAGGAAAACCCUCCAAUCCAUCUUGUUUUGUGCAGCUUAGGAAUCGUGAGAUUGGCCAAGAUGAUGCUAUCAAUGCCAUCUCUCCCGCAUUGGGCUGAAGGACCCUGAUAGACCCAUUGCAGCAAUGCUAUUCUGUGGCCCAACUGGAGUUUGGAAGACUGAAGGACCCAGAUUGAGCUUGCAAAAAUGUUGUUGGCGGAGGGACAAAGUCAUCUUUUGGUACAUUGGCCUGAACAAGGUGUUGAUGAUGAAGAAAAGAAAAGUUUCUUUGAUCAGGUAACUCGGCUUAAUUCAAGCUAUCUAGGUGGUUUGGCAUCAUAUAUUCGAAAUGCUAGGAAUCUAUUAGCAAAUUCAAAAGCAGGGAAAAAUCCAUUUAAUGGCUUUACUCCUUCGGUAAGUGAAUCCAUUAAAUUUGUUUUGCAAUCUGUUUUUCUUGUACAUUUCUGCCAGAAAUUUUUCUUCAAUUUCACUUCUUUUUU